This 503-nucleotide ribosomal RNA is filed under the name uncultured bacterium. RNAcentral describes it as "partial 16S ribosomal RNA". It matches the Rfam family "Bacterial small subunit ribosomal RNA", at positions 29 to 507 of the family's 1533-position model. The record is from RNAcentral.
AACGAACGCUGGCGGCGUGCCUAACACAUGCAAGUCGAACGAGAAAGGGGCUUCGGCUCCGAGUAAAGUGGCGCACGGGUGAGUAACACGUGGGUAACCUGCCUCUAAGAUUGGGAUAACUCGUCGAAAGAUGAGCUAAUACCGAAUAAGACCACAGUUCCCGCGGGAACAGGGGUCAAAGGUAGCCUCUGCUUGCAAGCUAUCACUUAGAGAUGGGCCUGCGCACCAUUAGCUAGUUGGUAGGGUAACGGCCUACCAAGGCAAAGAUGGUUAGCUGGUCUGAGAGGAUGAUCAGCCCCACUGGAACUGAGACACGGUCCAGACUCCUACGGGAGGCAGCAGUGGGGAAUAUUGCGCAAUGGGCGAAAGCUUGACGCAGCAACGCCGCGUGAGUGAUGAAGGCCUUCGGGUCGUAAAGCUCUGUCGGGAGGAACGAAUGCUCCUGAGGUUAACAGCCUCGGGAGGUGACGGUACCUUCAAAGGAAGCACCGGCUAACUCUGUG